RNAcentral lists this ribosomal RNA (506 nucleotides) under uncultured bacterium. RNAcentral's name for it is "partial 16S ribosomal RNA". It matches the Rfam family "Bacterial small subunit ribosomal RNA", at positions 29 to 523 of the family's 1533-position model. The record is from RNAcentral.
AGUGAACGCUGGCGGUAGGCCUAACACAUGCGAGUCGAACGGCAGCACAGAGGAGCUUGCUCCUUGGGUGGCGAGUGGCGGACGGGUGAGGAAUACAUCGGAAUCCACUCUGUCGUGGGGGAUAACGUAGGGAAACUUACGCUAAUACCGCAUACGACCUACGGGUGAAAGCAGGGGACCUUCGGGCCUUGCGCGAUUGAAUGAGCCGAUGUCGGAUUAGCUAGUUGGCGGGGUAAAGGCCCACCAAGGCGACGAUCCGUAGCUGGUCUGAGAGGAUGAUCAGCCACACUGGAACUGAGACACGGUCCAGACUCCUACGGGAGGCAGCAGUGGGGAAUAUUGGACAAUGGGCGCAAGCCUGAUCCAGCCAUACCGCGUGGGUGAAGAAGGCCUUCGGGUUGUAAAGCCCUUUUGUUGGGAAAGAAAUCCAGCUGGCUAAUACCCGGUUGGGAUGACGGUACCCAAAGAAUAAGCACCGGCUAACUUCGUGCCAGCCGCCGCGGUAA